Molecule: long non-coding RNA, 771 nt
Organism: Lingula anatina
Lineage: Eukaryota; Metazoa; Brachiopoda; Lingulata; Lingulida; Lingulidae
Source: RefSeq, a predicted model, not a curated record
AGAUUAUAAUCGAUGAUAUGCAGGAUACUAUCAUGUCAGAAAAAACCCGGUUACAGCGCAUAGAACGAUUACUUGAUAUACUUCCCACUCGUGGGCCUAAUGCCUUCCAUGUAUUCAUGGAGUCCUUGAAGACACCAUAUCCCCAUGUUAGCGAUACGAUCCGUGAGGCAGUGGUUGAGCUCCAGCAAUUGCAACAGCAUUAAUCUCCUGUUCAGUCACCAGAUGACCCUGUGCAAGACGAAGAGGGGAAUAAAUAAGUCGGACAAAAGAGAGAACAGGGUCACAGGGACAGCUGCAUGGUUUUAUUCUUACCUGUGGACUUACAGCCUUCAGUAUAUCAGUGGAAAGAACCAAUACCAAUCUUUUACAUAAUAUAAACGAUACAAUAAAAAAACAUUUUGCAUGAUUAAAGAAUGAUUAUAUGUAUUUUAAGUACUACCUUUGUUUCAUUAGCUGUUACGUAUAUGUGAUCACGCGUGAGAAUACUUUGCCGUUUUGCAAAGAUCCCCCACGUGUUUUUAUAUUGUUCAAAAUUAAUAUGUUCGGCCAUAAAGACAUGCGACAUCAGUAUUUAUCAACCAUUCAGUAACUUUAUAUGUUUAGAUGCUCUGUACUUUGGAUGUACAUUAUUAACUCUAUUGGUAGCAUGUCUUGACCGUAAUAAUGAUUUUUACUCAGAUAUGUUAUGGUAAGUUUUUAUUAUUUCUCUUUUUAUUUUUAUUUGGUAUGAUCUCAUAGCUUCGGUACUAAAAAUACAAAAGUUCAAAAUUA